This 849-nucleotide unclassified non-coding RNA is filed under the name Hevea brasiliensis (rubber tree). The record is from RNAcentral. Lineage: Eukaryota; Viridiplantae; Streptophyta; Magnoliopsida; Malpighiales; Euphorbiaceae.
GAUUAAGCAUAAAGGAAGAAAUGUUGUUUGGUCUAUUGCCAUGGACAAGUGCCUUAUUGAAGCUCUUGCUAUUCAGGCUAGAAAUGGAAAUAAAAUAGACAAAUGUUUUAACGAGAAUGCUUACACUGCUGCUUGUUUCGCUGUGAACUCUCACUUUAAUUUAAACUUGAACAAUCAAAAAGUUGUUAAUCGUCUUAAUACCAUCAAGAAAAGGUAUAAGGUAAUAAGGGAUAUGCUAAGUCAAGAUGGGUUCAGGUGGAAUCCCAGUACAAAGAUGAUUGAAUGUGACAGUGAAGNNUGGAAGAGAUACAUUGCUGCGCAUCCUGAUGCAAAAGGCAUUCGGGGUAAGCAGAUUGAGAUGUAUGAUGAACUAAAAAUUGUUUGUGGAAAUUACCAAGCUCCUAGUCGCUGGGCUAAGAUGAAGGAUGGAGGUCAUGUAACAAAGAAUUUUGAAGAAGAUUCUCCUUCUUUCCUCUCACCAAGUUCAGAAGAUGCGAGUGAGACUGAUGGAACAGAAUCGUAUACUGGACCACCAGAUUGCGUGCCAGAUGGUAGUCAGGACCCUCCACUGAUCCAGCCUGUUAGACAACUUCCGAAACGGGCCCGUGGAUCAGAAGCUCUUCAAGAUGCAAUGUUGGCAGUGGCAACAAGCAUUCGGCGUUUGGCUGAUGCAAUGGAGCAGAGCAAAACUGCAAUCAAUGCCUCAGAACUAUUACAGGCUGUGAUGGAGAUUGAUGGCUUAGAAGAGGCUAAACAAAUGUAUGCCUUUGAAUACCUGAAUGCUGACCCCAUUAAAGCCAGAGCCUUUAUGACGUACAAUGCACGAAUGAGGAAGAUUUAUUUGUUUCG